UAGUUGUCCGGAUUGCAUAUGGAUGGAUUCCCAUGUCAAAUUCUGUCUGCAAUUUAGACCUGAAAAAUAAAGAGAAAUCCUAAAAUUAAGUUUCUUUUGAGAUAAACUUUGAAUUAAACGUUGAAAGGACAACAACUUUAUAAUGAUACUAUGGUUAGUUUGUCUUUCCCAUGGGAGAGUAUAAGGGACUUUGCAUUUAUUAAUAGGGAAUAGGGAGCAGUAGACAAAAUAUAAGUAGGCUUGACUUUCUCCCGAUGAAAGCUCCAAACAUUUCGCUAUUGCUCCUCAUAGUUGAAGUAAUGACAACGAUUCUACUUGUUCUCCCUGAAGGGGUCUCCAACCGUUUUGUCAAUACUUUCCCGUCUUAUUCAAUUUCAUUUGAUAUCAUAAAAGUGUGAUUCAUGAUGUCACCUAAGUAAAUUCUAUAAAUUUCUUAAGCCAAGUUCCGCUACAUGUGAUAUGCUCAUUUUUUUUCAUAUAACGAAUCAAUUCCUUUGUAGACGUAGAAGAAGUUGAAUAGUUUGUACCUGAUAAUAUAGAGGGACCAAUUUAAUGGGCUUUUAUAUUCGCUUUUUAUCCCUUUUUGGUAUGCAAAUGAAUAUUUGAUACCUUGACAUCUCAUUUUGUGUAGGAGGUCUAUUAAAAUGAUUCUCUUUUUUGCUUUCUUUUCCUGUUUAACUUUUACUGUGAGGUUUUUGCUUUCUUUCUGGCUUUUCAAAGUCAGAAUAGUCAAUGUUUUCUUGGAUAUCUCAAUAACUUGCCUUCAGAUGCUCUGCUCCUGUUCCAAUGUAUGAAGCUAGCAAAUGAAAAGCCAAAUUCUGUCACAUUGGUUAAGCCGUUUUGUUAUCAUCAAUCUGAUCUGAUACAUUUGUCGUUAUUUUUUAUGCAUCUUGUUCCUAACUCUGUUCUUCAUUUUUACGACUAAUAGUUGUUACUUCAAUUACUUUAUUUAUCUUGCUGAUUAUGUUUCUUUGAUCUUAACAACGAUUAAAAAUUGCUGACCCGGGUUGGAAAUAUGGGAAAAGAACAAGUGAGACCAAUAGGGCCGCAGUUGAGUGUAACUUUUGUAAAAAAAGUUAUUAAUGGCAGAAUCUUUCGUCACAAACAACACCUGAUUGGUACUUGCAAGGACGUCACACGGUGUGAACAAUGCCCGGAUGCUCUAAGGGAAGAAAUGAAAAAAUAUGUUAAUGAAAAGAAGGAACAAAAAAGUCAGGCUUUACUUCAAUCGGAUGUGACUAAUAUUGGUGAUGAUAAAGAUGAAGAUAUGGAAGAAGGUGAAGCUACUGAAUAGUCACUUCCUUCAAAAUCACGAAAAUAGUCAUAGAAUGCAACAAUCAUAAAACCAUAAUCUUACUCAGCUUCAUCAACUAGGCAUGUAGCUACUUCUUUUCCCGUCCUUUGUAAGCAUUUAGUAUUCCCCCUUAAACCAUAAUGGUUUCUAUGAUUGUUGCAUUCUAUGACUGUUUUCGUGAUUUUGAAGGAAGUGACUAUUUAGUAGCUUCACCUUUUUCCAUAUCUCCAUCUUUAUCAUCACCAAUAUUAGUCACAUCCGAUUGAAGUAAAGCCUGAUGUUUUUGUUCCUUCUUUUCAUCAACAUAUUUUUUCAUUUCUUCCCUUAUAGCAUUCGGGCAUUGUUCACACCGUGUGACGUCCUUGCAAGUACCAAUCAGGUGUUGUUUGUGACGAAAGAUUCUGCCAUUAGUAACUUUCUUAUAAAAGUUACACUCAAUUGCUACCCUAUUGGUCUCACUUGUUCUUUUCCCAUAUUUCCAACCCGGGUCAGCAGUUUUUAAUCGCUAUUAAGAUCAAAGAAACAUAAUCAGCAAAAUAAAUAAAGUAAUCGAAGUAACAACUAUUAGUAGUAAAAAUGAAGAACAUAAUUAGGAAGAAUAUACGGAAAAAAUAAUGACAAAUGUAUCAAAUCAGUUGGGAUAUGACAUUUGAGAGGAACUCCACAAAUUGGUAUACUUCUAGAAGAGGAAAAGUCGUGCUCUGUCAGAGCCACAAAUUGGCAUUCAUCACGACCACUAUCAUCUCUCCCAGUUCAUAUCAUUAUCUUCUUCAAUAUCCCUCCAAUUCACCCGUACAAUUUUUGAUAAUUCUCACAUAAUUCAAUCAAUCUUCGCAUGGAACACAAUGAUGAGAGCAUAUUCCCCAGUAGAGUCUCUGAAACUCUUCGAACAGUUUCAAAAAAUCGGAUCAAAACCAGAUAAAUUCACAUUCGCUGUCGUGCUAAAUGUUUCUGGGCAUUGUUUGAUGAUUGGAACGGGUGGAUCAUUGCAUUCCAUGGCUGUGAAGUCGGGUUUUGGUUCAGAUUUACAUGUGAACAAUACCAUUUUGAGAAUGUAUGCUGGAUUGGUGUGAUCAGGUUUGCAAGACAGGUGUUUGAUGAAAUGCUUGAGAGGGAUAUAGUUUCUUGGAGUUCAAUGAUGGCUGCUUACGUUCAUUGGUAUGUAUAUUUGUUUCAGUUAUUUGUCAAAAACACAUAUUGACUUUUAUACGAAUUUCACACCCCAAUUAUCACAAUCUAUGUAUUAGGGAUCAUAUAGCUGAUUUUAACUACUUGUGAUUCAAGCAUGAUAGUAGUAAUUGUUGUCUUAUUAUUUACAGUUUCUUCUUCUUUCUCCUUCUAAAAGAGAUUUCAUGUAUCUAUUGAUUACUCUGGAAUUAGUACAUUAUUUAUGAUUUGUGAACCCGACAAGUGUGCGAAGGCUGAGAGAUUCCAUAGCAUUAUGUGGAAGUUGUUUAAGAUGAUUAUUAUAAUGGGAAUGAAUAGAAUUACCAAACUGUAAGUAGAUUUUGAGCAUGACAAGUUUACUACUUUGUGGAAACGAGUUCAAGUAUGGUUUUGUGAGGAAUUUGUAAGUUAACCGUCUUUUGAUAGGUCUGACACAUAAUAGGUCACAAUUUUUAUGAACAAUGCUAGCUUGUAACCUUGUUCGUUAUGCUUCAGAAAUUUAGUGCCAUGGUAUUUGUGGUUCUCUUGAGCAGAUAUCUGUGAUCUAAUACUCUUAGUGAACUUUUUAAAAUUCAUCCCAAAUGUCGAUUGUGAAUACUUGUUUUGUACCAUAAGAAGAAACCAGUAUUACUAUUACUUGGAUAUUUUAGCUUGAAUAAGGAGUUCCAAACUUGUUCACUAGUCUAACUUUUUUUCUUUUUCCUUCUUGCUGCAAUACUGCAAUAGAUUGUUAAACGAUGCCUAGGGUUCAUAUCUGAAAGGAUCAAUAAGGUGUUGAGCCUUUAAAAUUGUGAAAGCUGCAUACUCUCCUAAAUGAUCAGGGAUUAAUAAUGAUGGAAAAAUUUUGGGGUUGGAAUUGUCUCUUUUAAAUUGGAAAGGAGCAUGUACUCCUGAAAAAUAAGGAAGUAAAAAUGGAGAAAAAUUUCAUGGUUUAGAUUUUGGUAUUUAUCUUGGAAAGGUCCCGAUGACACUCUUUAAAAUGGGGAAUUAACAAAGAAGGAAAACUUUCAUGGUUGGGAUGUGAGCAACACUCCCAGCCUUUUGUAUUUAGGUAUGCUGGUCUCACUACUGUAUUUGUUUACUUUUGCAUACAUCAGAGCAUGUUAGAUUUUUUAUUUUUAAUUCUGGAAUCUCUAUGUACAUUCAUGUCCAAUAAAAACACUAAGCUUUGAAACCCAAUUUUUGCAAACCAAUCUUUGGACUUUUUACCUACAAAACUUUUGGAAAGGAAGCUAGUUCAUGACUCCAAUGGUCGUGAGUAUUCUAAAACUAACAAGCUAAAGUGGAUUAUGGACAGUAACUUGGUCUAAUAGUCUAACAUUGCUGCUGUUUAGUUGUCCGGAUUGCAUAUGGAUGGAUUCCCAUGUCAAAUUCUAACCUGAAAAAUAACGAGAAAUCCUAUAAUUAAGUUUCUUUUGAGAUAAACUUUGAAUUAAACAUUGAAACGACGACGACUUUAUAAUGAUACUAUGGUUAGUUUGUCUUUCCCAAGGGAGAGUAUAAGGGGUUUUGCAUUUAUAAAUAGGGAAUAAGGAGACAAUAGAGAUAAUAUAAUCAGGCUUGACUCUUUCUCUUGAUGAAGUCUCCGAACAUUUGGAUAUUUCUCCUCAUAGUUGAAGUAAUGACAACAAUUCUACUUGUUCUCCCUGCAGAGGUCUCCAACCGUUUUGUCAAUACUUUCUCGUCUUAUUCAAUUUCAUUUGAUAUCAUAUAAGUGUGAUUCAGGAUGUCACCUAAGUGAAUUCUAUAAAUUUAUUAAGCCAAAUUCCGCUACAUGUGAU
This 4242-nucleotide long non-coding RNA is filed under the name Solanum tuberosum (potato). RNAcentral describes it as "long non-coding RNA (STUB_LNC001510)". The record is from RNAcentral. Lineage: Eukaryota; Viridiplantae; Streptophyta; Magnoliopsida; Solanales; Solanaceae.